CUCAACUUCUACAGGCUAAAGUAACCAAGACAGGUAUAAGAUUCUUAGCUUAAUAGUUGAGGGUACUAAACACUGGUUGUGUCUGUUCUCCAUGUCAGUCAAUAACUCAUUUUGAUGAGCUGCUAUAGCCUCUGUUUGGAGAGGUUCGUGCCCACGCCUUGUCUCACUAAAUUAAAGUGGGGUUUGGCCCCUCUUAACUUUAAG
This is a non-coding RNA of Pelobates cultripes (western spadefoot toad), 204 nucleotides long. The record is from the annotation of a GenBank genome assembly. Lineage: Eukaryota; Metazoa; Chordata; Amphibia; Anura; Pelobatidae.